Molecule: ribosomal RNA, 435 nt
Filed under: uncultured bacterium
Lineage: Bacteria
Description: partial 16S ribosomal RNA
Rfam family: Bacterial small subunit ribosomal RNA
Source: RNAcentral
AGCGAACGCUGGCGGCAGGCUUAACACAUGCAAGUCGAGCGGGCACUUUCGGGUGUCAGCGGCGGACGGGUGAGUAACGCGUGGGAACGUGCCCUCUGGUUCGGAAUAACUCAGGGAAACUUGAGCUAAUACCGGAUACGCCCUUUUGGGGAAAGGCUUGCUGCCGGAGGAUCGGCCCGCGUCUGAUUAGCUAGUUGGUGAGGUAACGGCUCACCAAGGCGACGAUCAGUAGCUGGUCUGAGAGGAUGAUCAGCCACGCUGGGACUGGGACACGGCCCAGACUCCUACGGGAGGCAGCAGUGGGGAAUAUUGGACAAUGGGCGCCAGCCUGAUCCAGCCAUGCCGCGUGAGUGAUGAAGGCCUUAGGGUUGUAAAGCUCUUUUAUCCGGGACGAUAAUGACGGUACCGGAGGAAUAAGCCCCGGCUAACUUCGUG